This is a long non-coding RNA of Nematostella vectensis (starlet sea anemone), 666 nucleotides long. RefSeq lists it as uncharacterized. NCBI's taxonomy places the organism in Eukaryota, Metazoa, Cnidaria, Anthozoa, Actiniaria, Edwardsiidae. The transcript is spliced from 2 exons. The record is from RefSeq and is a predicted model, not a curated record.
CUCGAUAUCUGUAGGCUCAAACCUGCAAAAAGGCAGAAAAGCAUCAGAACAACAAGCUAUGCUUGAGAACACUGACGAGCAUGAUGUUAGCAGGAAAAGACUUGGAGUGUUCGAAAAAUAAUUCAAGUUUUCACACAAUGCCCUAUAUCCUACCUUCGAUGGUGUGAGCGAAUGGAGACUUGUGUGCUUACUUGCUAUCGCGCCGAGGUAAUACGGCUAUUAAAGAUAUUCAAACAAACGAAUGCGGUGGGCGCGUGACUGUCUCGUAGACUAGUGUAACCGUUAUCACACCGUCCACCUGAGCAUGCAUAAAAAGGGUUCAGCCCUACUCACCACUAAACCUACGACGUAUCUGCGGCCAGCGUCGCGACUGACAUAGAGGAUUUACCUUGUCUUUCACGUUAAUGGACAGGCGUCACUGACCGCGUAUGCUAGUCAUGUCUCAGCAAUCUAUGCAAGGUUAUGCCCUAGAAAUCACGCCAUAUCCGAAACUCCUCGAGUCUUGCUGGAGGGAAAGCUAAGGUGGAGCUCAAAUUUACACCGAUAAAGCAAAUUAGCGACGCCGCAGUGAUCAUUUCCGACCAAUCUAGCAGCUUUAGUCAGAAGGAGAAGCACGCUCAGGUCGAGGGUUUACGCGUUGUGCAAGCCAGACAAAUUAGCGAUAUC